AGAUUAUCUGCCUGUGAUGAAAAGACUGAGGAUACUCUUUCUACAUUAGAGAAAGUAUGGGAUGAAGCAGAUAAAGUGGUAUAUGAGCAACAAAUGGAGCACCUUCACGAUCAACUGACAGCAGCACUCAUUGAUAACCAAGAACUUAAAAUGAAACUUAAAUCAAUCGAGAGUAGAGAGGCAAAGAGUCAGGAAGCAAAAACUAAAAAAUAUGGUUCUUAUAGAGGAAGGGACUUGUCAACGUCAACUACCAGAGAAAGUUUUGAGAGUGUUUCAUCUCAACCAACCACACCCCCUGACAUUA
Molecule: long non-coding RNA, 304 nt
Organism: Amphimedon queenslandica
Lineage: Eukaryota; Metazoa; Porifera; Demospongiae; Haplosclerida; Niphatidae
Exons: 3
Source: RefSeq, a predicted model, not a curated record